This 606-nucleotide long non-coding RNA is filed under the name Homo sapiens (human). RNAcentral describes it as "HSALNT0239370". Lineage: Eukaryota; Metazoa; Chordata; Mammalia; Primates; Hominidae. The record is from RNAcentral.
CUCCUCUGCCUGGCCUCCAGAAGAGUUUGGAAGAGCAGCCUCGAAGACCGAGGAAGAACAUGGACUCUGGAGUCUGUUACUGCCAGUUUUGGUUCUAGUACGUUAAACUCCUGAGCCUCAGGGUCUACAUCUGCAAACUGAGGUGACAAUGCUGGACUUCUCUAAGAGAUGACCUGGAGGACCAAACUUAUCUCCUGCCAGUGUUUCUCAGCGAGGGUGCUGGUGGUGUCUGAGGCAGGCUGUGUCUUCGUUAUGAAGGAGUAUCCCACAUGUUACGGGGUAUUUAACAUCCCUGGCCCCACUCGCUCACACUCAGCAGUGCCUUCAGUCACUGGGACAUCCUGGAUACCCCAGGCAUUUCUAAGUACCCCCUGAGCCAGCAGUCUCCCAAUCGAGAAACUAAACUCCUCGAAGGCAGGGACCACGUCUUUGUGUUGCCAAAGCCAGGUGCCCAGUAGGGGCUCAAUAUGAGUUUGUUCCUGUCAUGGACUUUUUUUUUUUUUUUUUUUUGAGACUUGAGUCUCGCUCUUUCGCCCAGGCUGGAGUGCAGUGGCGUGAUCUCGGCUCACUGCAACCUCCGCCUCCCCAGUUCACGCCAUUCUCCUG